CGGGACACGUGGUAUCCUGUCUGAAUAUGGGGGGACCAUCCUCCAAGGCUAAAUACUCCUGACUGACCGAUAGUGAACCAGUACCGUGAGGGAAAGGCGAAAAGAACCCCGGCGAGGGGAGUGAAAAAGAACCUGAAACCGUGUACGUACAAGCAGUGGGAGCACGCUUAGGCGUGUGACUGCGUACCUUUUGUAUAAUGGGUCAGCGACUUAUAUUCUGUAGCAAGGUUAACCGAAUAGGGGAGCCGAAGGGAAACCGAGUCUUAACUGGGCGUUAAGUUGCAGGGUAUAGACCCGAAACCCGGUGAUCUAGCCAUGGGCAGGUUGAAGGUUGGGUAACACUAACUGGAGGACCGAACCGACUAAUGUUGAAAAAUUAGCGGAUGACUUGUGGCUGGGGGUGAAAGGCCAAUCAAACCGGGAGAUAGCUGGUUCUCCCCGAAAGCUAUUUAGGUAGCGCCUCGUGAAUUCAUCUCCGGGGGUAGAGCACUGUUUCGGCAAGGGGGUCAUCCCGACUUACCAACCCGAUGCAAACUGCGAAUACCGGAGAAUGUUAUCACGGGAGACACACGGCGGGUGCUAACGUCCGUCGUGAAGAGGGAAACAACCCAGACCGCCAGCUAAGGUCCCAAAGUCAUGGUUAAGUGGGAAACGAUGUGGGAAGGCCCAGACAGCCAGGAUGUUGGCUUAGAAGCAGCCAUCAUUUAAAGAAAGCGUAAUAGCUCACUGGUCGAGUCGGCCUGCGCGGAAGAUGUAACGGGGCUAAACCAUGCACCGAAGCUGCGGCAGCGACGCUGAUGCGUUGUUGGGUAGGGGAGCGUUCUGUAAGCCUGUGAAGGUGUGCUGUGAGGCAUGCUGGAGGUAUCAGAAGUGCGAAUGCUGACAUAAGUAACGAUAAAGCGGGUGAAAAGCCCGCUCGCCGGAAGACCAAGGGUUCCUGUCCAACGUUAAUCGGGGCAGGGUGAGUCGACCCCUAAGGCGAGGCCGAAAGGCGUAGUCGAUGGGAAACAGGUUAAUAUUCCUGUACUUGGUGUUACUGCGAAGGGGGGACGGAGAAGGCUAUGUUGGCCGGGCGACGGUUGUCCCGGUUUAAGCGUGUAGGCUGGUUUUCCAGGCAAAUCCGGAAAAUCAAGGCUGAGGCGUGAUGACGAGGCACUACGGUGCUGAAGCAACAAAUGCCCUGCUUCCAGGAAAAGCCUCUAAGCAUCAGGUAACAUCAAAUCGUACCCCAAACCGACACAGGUGGUCAGGUAGAGAAUACCAAGGCGCUUGAGAGAACUCGGGUGAAGGAACUAGGCAAAAUGGUGCCGUAACUUCGGGAGAAGGCACGCUGAUAUGUAGGUGAAGCGACUUGCUCGUGGAGCUGAAAUCAGUCGAAGAUACCAGCUGGCUGCAACUGUUUAUUAAAAACACAGCACUGUGCAAACACGAAAGUGGACGUAUACGGUGUGACGCCUGCCCGGUGCCGGAAGGUUAAUUGAUGGGGUCAGCGCAAGCGAAGCUCUUGAUCGAAGCCCCGGUAAACGGCGGCCGUAACUAUAACGGUCCUAAGGUAGCGAAAUUCCUUGUCGGGUAAGUUCCGACCUGCACGAAUGGCGUAAUGAUGGCCAGGCUGUCUCCACCCGAGACUCAGUGAAAUUGAACUCGCUGUGAAGAUGCAGUGUACCCGCGGCAAGACGGAAAGACCCCGUGAACCUUUACUAUAGCUUGACACUGAACAUUGAGCCUUGAUGUGUAGGAUAGGUGGGAGGCUUUGAAGUGUGGACGCCAGUCUGCAUGGAGCCGACCUUGAAAUACCACCCUUUAAUGUUUGAUGUUCUAACGU
Molecule: ribosomal RNA, 1825 nt
Filed under: Escherichia coli
Lineage: Bacteria; Pseudomonadati; Pseudomonadota; Gammaproteobacteria; Enterobacterales; Enterobacteriaceae
Description: partial 23S ribosomal RNA
Rfam family: Bacterial large subunit ribosomal RNA
Source: RNAcentral